AAAGCAACAGCGACUCCCUGAGUAGCGGCGAGCGAAACGGGAAGAGCCUAAACCGUGCCGGUGUCAAGCCUGGUGGCGUUGCCGGUACGGGGUCGUGGGACCAGAUAGGAGAGUCACCAGCCUCUCCACGGAGUUACAAAGUUGCUGCGUAGCAGAAGGGUUUUGGAAAGUCCCGCCACAGAGGGUAAUAGCCCCGUAAGUUAAACGCACGCAGCCUCCGAUCUGGCACCCGAGUAGCACCGGGCCCGUGAAAUCUGGUGUGAAUCUGCGAAGACCACUUCGUAAGGCUAAGUACUAACAGGCGACCGAUAGUGAACUAGUACCGUGAGGGAAAGGUGAAAAGCACCCCGGGAGGGGAGUGAAAUAGUACCUGAAACCGUUGGCUUACAAACAGUCAGAGCGUCGUCGGUCACUUCGGUGGCCGGCCGUGAUGGCGUGCCUUUUGAAGAAUGAGCCAGCGAGUUACCGUACGUGGCAAGGUUAACCCGUGAGGGGAAGCCGGAGCGAAAGCGAGUCUUAAUAGGGCGUCCAGUCGCGUGUGGUAGACCCGAAGCCGAGUGAUCUACCCAUGGGCAGGCUGAAGCGGGGGUAAGACCCCGUGGAGGGCCGAACCCACCAUGGUUGAAAACAUGGGGGAUGACCUGUGGGUAGGGGUGAAAGGCCAAACAAACUCGGUGAUAGCUGGUUCUCCCCGAAAUGCAUUUAGGUGCAGCGUUGGGCGUUCAGCAUCGGAGGUAGAGCACUGAAUGGGUUAGGGGGCCUACAAGCUUACCGACCCCAAUCAAACUCCGAAUGCCGAUACUCCAGAGCCCGGCAGUGAGACCACGAGGGAUGAGCUUCGUUGGUCGAAAGGGAAACAGCCCAGACCGCCAGCUAAGGCCCCAAAUUUUUGGCUAAGUGGAAAACGAUGUGGGAACGCAAAGACAGCCAGGAGGUUGGCUCAGAAGCAGCCAUCCUUAAAAGAGUGCGUAAUAGCUCACUGGUCGAGUGGUCCUGCGCGGACAAUGUAACGGGGCUCAAGCCUAGAGCCGAAGCUGCGGAUUUCCGCGUAAGCGGGAGUGGUAGGGGAGCGUCGAUCUUGCAGAGAAGCGGCGGUGGGAACCGUCGUGGAGCGUGAUCGAGUGAGAAUGCUGGCAUGAGUAGCGAGAGAGGGGUGAGAAACCCCUCCGCCGUAAGCCCAAGGGUUCCUGGGGAAGGCUAAUCCUCCCAGGGUAAGUCGGGAGCUAAGGCGAGGCCGAGAGGCGUAGUCGAUGCACAACUGGUUGAUAUUCCAGUACUUCCGUGUCCGCGCCCAUUCCAAUACCGGUGUCCUAAGGGGCUGUCCUUCGGGGCGAACCGACCGACCCGGUGGCGGAAAGCGAAGGAGGGACGCAGGAGGGUAGGUGAGCCCAGGCGUUGGUUGUCCUGGGGUAAGCGUGUAGGGGGAGGUCCAGGCAAAUCCGGACCUCAUCAACCCUGAGACGCGAUGCCGAGCCACACCAGGCGAAGUCACUGAUCCCAUGCUGCCGAGAAAAGCUUCUAGCGAGCUGGCACGGAACCCGUACCCCAAACCGACACAGGUGGGCGGGUAGAGAAUACCAAGGCGAUCGGGAGAACUGUGGUUAAGGAACUCGGCAAAAUACCUCCGUAACUUCGGGAGAAGGAGGGCCUCAUUAGGAUGACGGACUUAGCGUCCCGAGUCUGAAGGGGUCGCAGAGAAUAGGGGAAAGCGACUGUUUACUAAAAACACAGGAGCGUGCGAAGUCGUAAGACGAUGUAUACGCUCUGACGCCUGCCCGGUGCCGGAAGGUUACGGGGAAGGGUUAGCCCUCGGGCGAAGCUCUGAACCUAAGCCCCGGUAAACGGCGGCCGUAACUAUAACGGUCCUAAGGUAGCGAAAUUCCUUGUCGGGUAAGUUCCGACCUGCACGAAUGGCGUAACGACUUUCCUACUGUCUCAACCACAGACCCGGCGAAAUUGAAGUACGAGUAAAGAUGCUCGUUAGCUGCAUCAGGACGGAAAGACCCCGUGGACCUUUACUACAGCUUGAUGUUGAGUUUUAGUACAUAUUGUGUAGGAUAGGUGGGAGACUUUGAAGCAUUGGCGCUAGCCAGUGUGGAGUCAACCUUGAAAUACCACCCUUUAUGUGCCGGAACCCUAACCUCGGUCCGUUAUCCGGAUCAGGGACAGCGUCAGGUGGGUAGUUUGACUGGGGCGGUCGCCUCCUAAA
This 2209-nucleotide ribosomal RNA is filed under the name soil metagenome. Its description in RNAcentral is "bacterial LSU rRNA". It matches the Rfam family "Bacterial large subunit ribosomal RNA", at positions 222 to 2294 of the family's 2925-position model. The record is from RNAcentral.